UACGGAGGGUGCAAGCGUUGUCCGGAAUCACUGGGCGUAAAGGGCGUGUAGGCGGGACAGUAAGUCGGGGGUGAAAUCCUGGAGCUCAACUCCAGAACUGCCUUCGAAACUGGCGAUCUUGAGUUCGGGAGAGGUGAGUGGAACUGCGAGUGUAGAGGUGAAAUUCGUAGAUAUUCGCAAGAACACCAGUGGCGAAGGCGGCUCACUGGCCCGAUACUGACGCUGAGGUGCGAAAGCGUGGGGAGCAAACAGG
Molecule: ribosomal RNA, 253 nt
Filed under: uncultured bacterium
Lineage: Bacteria
Description: partial 16S ribosomal RNA
Rfam family: Bacterial small subunit ribosomal RNA
Source: RNAcentral